This 199-nucleotide long non-coding RNA is filed under the name Elaeis guineensis (African oil palm). RNAcentral's name for it is "long non-coding RNA (EGUI_LNC069551)". Lineage: Eukaryota; Viridiplantae; Streptophyta; Magnoliopsida; Arecales; Arecaceae. The record is from RNAcentral.
UUCCUUAUAGAAAAGCAUGCAAUUAUUACGAUAUGCAUCUAUCUUCUUAUAUCUUAUGUCUAAUCUCUUCACUAUUUUCUUUGAAGCAUAGAAACUCCCAACAAGUUUUUCAUCAUUCGGUAGCAUUUUUUUUAUGAUUGCUACCAUUCUAUCAUAAUAGUUGACCAUCAUAUUAAAUUUAGCCUUCAAGUUCAACAAC